UCAAGCGACUAAGUGUAUGUGGUGGAUGCCUUGGCGAUCACAGGCGAUGAAGGACGUGACAGCCUGCGAAAAGCUGUGGGGAGCUGGCAAAUAAGCUUUGAUCCACAGAUGUCCGAAUGAGGGAACUCACCUGCUUUGCAGGUAUCCCAUCCUGAAUAUAUAGGGAUGGGAGGCGAACGAAGCGAACUGAAACAUCUAAGUAGCUUCAGGAAAAGAAAUCAACCGAGAUUCCGAAAGUAGCGGCGAGCGAAAUCGGAUCAGCCCAGCACUCGAUAGCAGCCAACUUACGGGAACGGUCUGGAAAGUCCGGCCAUAGAGGGUGAUAGCCCCUUACUGGAAAAGGCAGCUGUGGUACUAAGUGUGCGAUAAGUAGAGCGGGACACGUGACAUCCUGCUCGAAGAUGGGGGGACCAUCCUCCAAGGCUAAAUACUCGUGAUCGACCGAUAGCGUACCAGUACUGUGAAGGAAAGGUUAAAAGAACCCCGGGAGGGGAGUGAAAUAGAUCCUGAAACCGCAUACAUACAAACAGUAGGAGCCUCGUUAAGGGGUGACUGCGUACCUUUUGCAUAAUGGGUCAGCGACUUACGUUUAAUGGCGAGCUUAACCGUAUAGGGGAGGCGCAGCGAAAGCGAGUUCGAACAGAGCGUUCAGUCGUUAGGCGUAGACCCGAAACCAGAUGAUCUAUCCAUGGCCAGGUUGAAGGUGUGGUAACACACACUGGAGGACCGAACCGACUAGUGUUGCAAAAUUAGCGGAUGAGCUGUGGAUAGGGGUGAAAGGCUAAACAAAUCUGGAGAUAGCUGGUUCUCCCCGAAAACUAUUGAGGUAGUGCCUCGUGUAUGACUCCAGGGGGUAGAGCACUGUUAUGGCUAGGGGGACAUGGCGUCUUACCAAACCAUGGCAAACUCCGAAUACUUGGAAGUUUGAGCACGGGAGACAGAGCACCGGGUGCUAACGUCCGGACUCAAGAGGGAAACAACCCAGACCGCCGGCUAAGGUCCCUAAUAUUGACUAAGUGGAAAACGAAGUGGAAAGGCUAAGACAGUCAGGAAGUUGGCUUAGAAGCAGCCAUCCUUCAAAGAAAGCGUAAUAGCUCACUGAUCGAGUCUUUCUGCGCGGAAGAUGUAACGGGGCUAAGUCAAUAACCGAAGCCGCGGAUUCACACUUGUGUGUGAGUGGUAGGGGAGCGUUCUGUAAGCCUGCGAAGGUGACUCGUAAGGGUUGCUGGAGGUAUCAGAAGUGCGAAUGCUGACAUGAGUAACGUUAAAGCGGGUGAAAAGCCCGCUCGCCGUAAGCCCAAGGUUUCCUGCUCUACGUUCAUCGGAGCAGGGUGAGUCGGCCCCUAAGGUGAGGCUGAGAAGCGUAACUGAUGGGAACAAGGUUAAUAUUCCUUGACCACCGCUGAAUGCGAAGGGGGGACGGAGUAUUGAAGAUCAUCCGGGUGUUGGAUAUCCCGGUUUGCGAGCGUAGGAGGCUGACAGGCAAAUCCGUCAGCGGAUCUCCGAGGCAAAGCAUCGAGCUCUCUUUUGAGCGAAGUGAUUGGAUGUGCUUCCAGGAAAAGCCUCUAAGCUCCAGUUCAGCGGGACCGUACCGCAAACCGACACUGGUGGGCGAGCUGAAUAUGCUCAGGCGCUUGAGAGAACUCAGGAGAAGGAACUCGGCAAAUUGACACCGUAACUUCGGGAUAAGGUGUGCCUUUGUAGCGUGGAGGGAGAAACACCCCGAGCGCGAAGAGGUCUCAGAUAAUCGGUGGCUGCGACUGUUUAUUAAAAACACAGCACUCUGCAAAGACGAAAGUCGACGUAUAGGGUGUGAUGCCUGCCCGGUGCUGGAAGAUUAAUUGAUGGGGUGCAAGCUCCUGAUCGAAGUCCCAGUAAACGGCGGCCGUAACUAUAACGGUCCUAAGGUAGCGAAAUUCCUUGUC
Molecule: ribosomal RNA, 1925 nt
Filed under: human gut metagenome
Description: bacterial LSU rRNA
Rfam family: Bacterial large subunit ribosomal RNA
Source: RNAcentral